AGCUAGUUAGCCUAAUGGUUAAGGCUAUGGAUCACCAAUCCAGAGACAACGGGUUCGAUUCCUGUUCCGGUCG
Molecule: non-coding RNA, 73 nt
Organism: Aedes albopictus (Asian tiger mosquito)
Lineage: Eukaryota; Metazoa; Arthropoda; Insecta; Diptera; Culicidae
Source: Rfam